Molecule: transfer RNA, 73 nt
Filed under: Aquifex pyrophilus
Lineage: Bacteria; Pseudomonadati; Aquificota; Aquificia; Aquificales; Aquificaceae
Also listed under: 1 other name
Description: tRNA-Pro
Rfam family: tRNA
About the family: Transfer RNA (tRNA) molecules are approximately 80 nucleotides in length. Their secondary structure includes four short double-helical elements and three loops (D, anti-codon, and T loops).
Source: RNAcentral
CGGGGCGUAGCGCAGGUGGUAGCGCGUCGGCUUUGGGAGCCGAAGGUCGCGGGUUCAAGUCCCGCCGCCCCGA